GGGUUGUGAGGUUAAGCGACUAAGCGUACACGGUGGAUGCCCUGGCAGUCAGAGGCGAUGAAGGACGUGCUAAUCUGCGAUAAGCGUCGGUAAGGUGAUAUGAACCGUUAUAACCGGCGAUUUCCGAAUGGGGAAACCCAGUGUGUUUCGACACACUAUCAUUAACUGAAUCCAUAGGUUAAUGAGGCGAACCGGGGGAACUGAAACAUCUAAGUACCCCGAGGAAAAGAAAUCAACCGAGAUUCCCCCAGUAGCGGCGAGCGAACGGGGAGCAGCCCAGAGCCUGAAUCAGUGUGUGUGUUAGUGGAAGCGUCUGGAAAGGCGCGCGAUACAGGGUGACAGCCCCGUACACAAAAAUGCACAUGCUGUGAGCUCGAUGAGUAGGGCGGGACACGUGGUAUCCUGUCUGAAUAUGGGGGGACCAUCCUCCAAGGCUAAAUACUCCUGACUGACCGAUAGUGAACCAGUACCGUGAGGGAAAGGCGAAAAGAACCCCGGCGAGGGGAGUGAAAAAGAACCUGAAACCGUGUACGUACAAGCAGUGGGAGCACGCUUAGGCGUGUGACUGCGUACCUUUUGUAUAAUGGGUCAGCGACUUAUAUUCUGUAGCAAGGUUAACCGAAUAGGGGAGCCGAAGGGAAACCGAGUCUUAACUGGGCGUUAAGUUGCAGGGUAUAGACCCGAAACCCGGUGAUCUAGCCAUGGGCAGGUUGAAGGUUGGGUAACACUAACUGGAGGACCGAACCGACUAAUGUUGAAAAAUUAGCGGAUGACUUGUGGCUGGGGGUGAAAGGCCAAUCAAACCGGGAGAUAGCUGGUUCUCCCCGAAAGCUAUUUAGGUAGCGCCUCGUGAAUUCAUCUCCGGGGGUAGAGCACUGUUUCGGCAAGGGGGUCAUCCCGACUUACCAACCCGAUGCAAACUGCGAAUACCGGAGAAUGUUAUCACGGGAGACACACGGCGGGUGCUAACGUCCGUCGUGAAGAGGGAAACAACCCAGACCGCCAGCUAAGGUCCCAAAGUCAUGGUUAAGUGGGAAACGAUGUGGGAAGGCCCAGACAGCCAGGAUGUUGGCUUAGAAGCAGCCAUCAUUUAAAGAAAGCGUAAUAGCUCACUGGUCGAGUCGGCCUGCGCGGAAGAUGUAACGGGGCUAAACCAUGCACCGAAGCUGCGGCAGCGACACUAUGUGUUGUUGGGUAGGGGAGCGUUCUGUAAGCCUGUGAAGGUGUACUGUGAGGUAUGCUGGAGGUAUCAGAAGUGCGAAUGCUGACAUAAGUAACGAUAAAGCGGGUGAAAAGCCCGCUCGCCGGAAGACCAAGGGUUCCUGUCCAACGUUAAUCGGGGCAGGGUGAGUCGACCCCUAAGGCGAGGCCGAAAGGCGUAGUCGAUGGGAAACAGGUUAAUAUUCCUGUACUUGGUGUUACUGCGAAGGGGGGACGGAGAAGGCUAUGUUGGCCGGGCGACGGUUGUCCCGGUUUAAGCGUGUAGGCUGGUUUUCCAGGCAAAUCCGGAAAAUCAAGGCUGAGGCGUGAUGACGAGGCACUACGGUGCUGAAGCAACAAAUGCCCUGCUUCCAGGAAAAGCCUCUAAGCAUCAGGUAACAUCAAAUCGUACCCCAAACCGACACAGGUGGUCAGGUAGAGAAUACCAAGGCGCUUGAGAGAACUCGGGUGAAGGAACUAGGCAAAAUGGUGCCGUAACUUCGGGAGAAGGCACGCUGAUAUGUAGGUGAAGUCCCUCGCGGAUGGAGCUGAAAUCAGUCGAAGAUACCAGCUGGCUGCAACUGUUUAUUAAAAACACAGCACUGUGCAAACACGAAAGUGGACGUAUACGGUGUGACGCCUGCCCGGUGCCGGAAGGUUAAUUGAUGGGGUCAGCGCAAGCGAAGCUCUUGAUCGAAGCCCCGGUAAACGGCGGCCGUAACUAUAACGGUCCUAAGGUAGCGAAAUUCCUUGUCGGGUAAGUUCCGACCUGCACGAAUGGCGUAAUGAUGGCCAGGCUGUCUCCACCCGAGACUCAGUGAAAUUGAACUCGCUGUGAAGAUGCAGUGUACCCGCGGCAAGACGGAAAGACCCCGUGAACCUUUACUAUAGCUUGACACUGAACAUUGAGCCUUGAUGUGUAGGAUAGGUGGGAGGCUUUGAAGUGUGGACGCCAGUCUGCAUGGAGCCGACCUUGAAAUACCACCCUUUAAUGUUUGAUGUUCUAACGUUGACCCGUAAUCCGGGUUGCGGACAGUGUCUGGUGGGUAGUUUGACUGGGGCGGUCUCCUCCUAAAGAGUAACGGAGGAGCACGAAGGUUGGCUAAUCCUGGUCGGACAUCAGGAGGUUAGUGCAAUGGCAUAAGCCAGCUUGACUGCGAGCGUGACGGCGCGAGCAGGUGCGAAAGCAGGUCAUAGUGAUCCGGUGGUUCUGAAUGGAAGGGCCAUCGCUCAACGGAUAAAAGGUACUCCGGGGAUAACAGGCUGAUACCGCCCAAGAGUUCAUAUCGACGGCGGUGUUUGGCACCUCGAUGUCGGCUCAUCACAUCCUGGGGCUGAAGUAGGUCCCAAGGGUAUGGCUGUUCGCCAUUUAAAGUGGUACGCGAGCUGGGUUUAGAACGUCGUGAGACAGUUCGGUCCCUAUCUGCCGUGGGCGCUGGAGAACUGAGGGGGGCUGCUCCUAGUACGAGAGGACCGGAGUGGACGCAUCACUGGUGUUCGGGUUGUCAUGCCAAUGGCACUGCCCGGUAGCUAAAUGCGGAAGAGAUAAGUGCUGAAAGCAUCUAAGCACGAAACUUGCCCCGAGAUGAGUUCUCCCUGACUCCUUGAGAGUCCUGAAGGAACGUUGAAGACGACGACGUUGAUAGGCCGGGUGUGUAAGCGCAGCGAUGCGUUGAGCUAACCGGUACUAAUGAACCGUGAGGCUUAACCUUACAACGCCGAAG
RNAcentral lists this ribosomal RNA (2924 nucleotides) under Escherichia coli. RNAcentral's name for it is "23S ribosomal RNA". It matches the Rfam family "Bacterial large subunit ribosomal RNA". Lineage: Bacteria; Pseudomonadati; Pseudomonadota; Gammaproteobacteria; Enterobacterales; Enterobacteriaceae. The record is from RNAcentral.